AAAUUGAAGAGUUUGAUCAUGGCUCAGAUUGAACGCUGGCGGCAGGCCUAACACAUGCAAGUCGAACGGUAACAGGAAGCAGCUUGCUGCUUCGCUGACGAGUGGCGGACGGGUGAGUAAUGUCUGGGAAACUGCCUGAUGGAGGGGGAUAACUACUGGAAACGGUGGCUAAUACCGCAUAAUGUCGCAAGACCAAAGAGGGGGACCUUCGGGCCUCUUGCCAUCAGAUGUGCCCAGAUGGGAUUAGCUUGUUGGUGAGGUAACGGCUCACCAAGGCGACGAUCCCUAGCUGGUCUGAGAGGAUGACCAGCCACACUGGAACUGAGACACGGUCCAGACUCCUACGGGAGGCAGCAGUGGGGAAUAUUGCACAAUGGGCGCAAGCCUGAUGCAGCCAUGCCGCGUGUAUGAAGAAGGCCUUCGGGUUGUAAAGUACUUUCAGCGGGGAGGAAGGUGUUGUGGUUAAUAACCGCAGCAAUUGACGUUACCCGCAG
This 494-nucleotide ribosomal RNA is filed under the name Salmonella enterica. Its description in RNAcentral is "bacterial SSU rRNA". It matches the Rfam family "Bacterial small subunit ribosomal RNA", at positions 1 to 484 of the family's 1533-position model. The record is from RNAcentral. Lineage: Bacteria; Pseudomonadati; Pseudomonadota; Gammaproteobacteria; Enterobacterales; Enterobacteriaceae.